RNAcentral lists this transfer RNA (71 nucleotides) under Bacteroidetes bacterium RIFCSPLOWO2_02_FULL_36_8. RNAcentral's name for it is "tRNA-Cys". It matches the Rfam family "tRNA". Rfam says of the family: Transfer RNA (tRNA) molecules are approximately 80 nucleotides in length. Their secondary structure includes four short double-helical elements and three loops (D, anti-codon, and T loops). RNAcentral also lists the same sequence under 1 other name. The record is from RNAcentral. Lineage: Bacteria; Pseudomonadati; Bacteroidota.
GGUCACGUGGCCGAGUGGCUAGGCACGGGUCUGCAAAACCCUCAACGGGGGUUCGAUUCCCUCCGUGACCU